This 590-nucleotide ribosomal RNA is filed under the name Lodderomyces orthopsilosis. RNAcentral describes it as "eukaryotic LSU rRNA". It matches the Rfam family "Eukaryotic large subunit ribosomal RNA", at positions 47 to 653 of the family's 3401-position model. The record is from RNAcentral. Lineage: Eukaryota; Fungi; Ascomycota; Pichiomycetes; Serinales; Debaryomycetaceae.
UAAGCGGAGGAAAAGAAACCAACAGGGAUUGCCUUAGUAGCGGCGAGUGAAGCGGCAAAAGCUCAAAUUUGAAAUCUGGCACUUUCAGUGUCCGAGUUGUAAUUUGAAGAAGGUAUCUUUGGGUCUGGCUCUUGUCUAUGUUUCUUGGAACAGAACGUCACAGAGGGUGAGAAUCCCGUGCGAUGAGAUGACCCAGACCUAUGUAAAGUUCCUUCGAAGAGUCGAGUUGUUUGGGAAUGCAGCUCUAAGUGGGUGGUAAAUUCCAUCUAAAGCUAAAUAUUGGCGAGAGACCGAUAGCGAACAAGUACAGUGAUGGAAAGAUGAAAAGAACUUUGAAAAGAGAGUGAAAAAGUACGUGAAAUUGUUGAAAGGGAAGGGCUUGAGAUCAGACUUGGUAUUUUGUAUGUUACUCUCUCGGGGGUGGCCUCUACAGUUUACCGGGCCAGCAUCAGUUUGGGCGGUAGGACAAUUGCAAAGAAAUGUGGCACUGCCUCGGUAGUGUGUUAUAGUCUUUGUCGAUACUGCCAGCCUAGACUGAGGACUGCGGCUUCGGCCUAGGAUGUUGGCAUAAUGAUCUUAAGUCGCCCGUC